GGGGCUGACUUGGCUUUGACAGCGUGUUGAGGUGGUAAGUAAGCAUGCAGAGUGAUGGUGUCUGAGCUCUUUAAAUCCAUGAUAUCGACUUUUUUAAAUGGCGAAAAUUCUUACGCUCUCGCUGCCUGAUUGAAGCACAGUAGGUCAGCUUAAUCUUUGCCACGAGUUGCAAAGACGAGACAUCACCCGGUGGCCGUUGCUCCGAGGCUUAUCGACAAGGUGGUGCUAGCAUAUCGGGGAUAGAGGAUGACGAGUCUCGAGUCAAACUUGAAAUUUAGAGACUAAGCUGCAAGUCGGUAGUCGUGAGCCUGCUUGCAGUCGAAAACCAAGUCACCGACUAAGCAUGUAGAAAGCUUAUUAGUUCCACGUUUGGACGAGGGUUCAAACCCCUCCAGCUCCACA
Molecule: transfer-messenger RNA, 402 nt
Filed under: bovine gut metagenome
Rfam family: transfer-messenger RNA
About the family: Bacterial tmRNA, also known as 10Sa RNA or SsrA, is named for its dual tRNA and mRNA-like properties.
Source: RNAcentral